Molecule: microRNA precursor, 107 nt
Organism: Aotus nancymaae (Ma's night monkey)
Lineage: Eukaryota; Metazoa; Chordata; Mammalia; Primates; Aotidae
Source: Ensembl
UGCAGGGAGUGGGGAGGAACUGGAUUUGGAGCCAGAAGAACUGGUUCUAAUAUCUACUUCCCUGUGUGGAGUUGGGAUUUGGAAUCAUAUGAGUUAAUGUACACCAA